UGUAUUCACUACUGUAAGUUGCUCUGGAUAAGAGCGUCUGCUAAAUGACUUAAU
Molecule: non-coding RNA, 54 nt
Organism: Salmo salar (Atlantic salmon)
Lineage: Eukaryota; Metazoa; Chordata; Actinopteri; Salmoniformes; Salmonidae
Source: Rfam